GACGUUAGCGAUGAGGUCCCACCUGUUCUCAUCCCGAACACAGAAGUUAAGCUCAUCAGCGCCGAAAAUACUUUAUUGGAGACGAUACGGGAAAAUAGGUCGUUGCU
Molecule: ribosomal RNA, 107 nt
Filed under: human gut metagenome
Source: RNAcentral